UGCUGGAUAGCUCAGUCGGUACAGCAUGAGACACUUAACCUCAGGAUUGUAGGUUAGAGCCCCACAUUGGUCAA
Podarcis lilfordi (Lilford's wall lizard) is the source of this 74-nucleotide non-coding RNA. The record is from the annotation of a GenBank genome assembly. NCBI's taxonomy places the organism in Eukaryota, Metazoa, Chordata, Lepidosauria, Squamata, Lacertidae.